RNAcentral lists this ribosomal RNA (370 nucleotides) under Micipsella numidica. RNAcentral's name for it is "partial 12S ribosomal RNA". The record is from RNAcentral. Lineage: Eukaryota; Metazoa; Nematoda; Chromadorea; Rhabditida; Onchocercidae.
UUUUUGUGGUUUCCUUUUUUUUAUUUAUUUUUUAUUUCAUUUUUUUGUAAAAUAUUUUGUUUUGUUUUUUUUUGGAAGGAUUUCAAAAGUUUGGUUGUUGAACUGGAUUAUUACCCAGGUAAUCAAAAUUAUUUAUUUCGGGAGUAUAGUUGUAUUUAUACCGUAAAAAUAUUGGCUGACUUUAAAUUUUUCUUUGGAAUAUGUGUGAUUAGGAGAGCCCUCCUUUUUAGUGAUUUUUUUUGGUACAUGUAUGAUUGUUUAGUUUUUAUUUUGUCUGUAAAGCUAUUUUUUUAUAUAUAUAACAAAUAUAUACUUGGCUUAUAUUUUUAUUUUCAUGUGUUACUAUUAUUAAUUUUUUUUUUUGGAUAUA